GUAGCUUUUUCCGAUUUGCUGCCU
Molecule: non-coding RNA, 24 nt
Filed under: Arabidopsis thaliana (thale cress)
Lineage: Eukaryota; Viridiplantae; Streptophyta; Magnoliopsida; Brassicales; Brassicaceae
Source: RNAcentral